GGGGAAUUAGCUCAGUUGGGAGAGCGCCGCCCUUGCAAGGCGGAGGUCACCGGUUCGAAUCCGGUAUUCUCCACCA
This 76-nucleotide transfer RNA is filed under the name bacterium. Its description in RNAcentral is "tRNA-Ala". It matches the Rfam family "tRNA". Rfam says of the family: Transfer RNA (tRNA) molecules are approximately 80 nucleotides in length. Their secondary structure includes four short double-helical elements and three loops (D, anti-codon, and T loops). Further hydrogen bonds mediate the characteristic L-shaped molecular structure. tRNAs have two regions of fundamental functional importance: the anti-codon, which is responsible for specific mRNA codon recognition, and the 3' end, to which the tRNAs corresponding amino acid is attached (by aminoacyl-tRNA synthetases). tRNAs cope with the degeneracy of the genetic code in two manners: having more than one tRNA (with a specific anti-codon) for a particular amino acid; and 'wobble' base-pairing, i.e. permitting non-standard base-pairing at the 3rd anti-codon position. The record is from RNAcentral. RNAcentral also lists the same sequence under 1 other name.